This 497-nucleotide ribosomal RNA is filed under the name uncultured bacterium. RNAcentral's name for it is "partial 16S ribosomal RNA". It matches the Rfam family "Bacterial small subunit ribosomal RNA", at positions 899 to 1397 of the family's 1533-position model. The record is from RNAcentral.
ACUCAAAGGAAUUGACGGGGACCCGCACAAGCGGUGGAGCAUGUGGUUUAAUUCGAAGCAACGCGAAGAACCUUACCAGGUCUUGACAUCUCCUGACCUCCCUAGAGAUAGGGCCUUCCCUUCGGGGACAGGAUGACAGGUGGUGCAUGGUUGUCGUCAGCUCGUGUCGUGAGAUGUUGGGUUAAGUCCCGCAACGAGCGCAACCCUUGUCCUUAGUUGCCAGCAUUCAGUUGGGCACUCUAAGGAGACUGCCGGCUAAAAGUCGGAGGAAGGUGGGGAUGACGUCAAAUCAUCAUGCCCCUUAUGACCUGGGCUACACACGUGCUACAAUGGAUGGUACAAAGGGUUGCGAAGCCGCGAGGUGAAGCCAAUCCCAUAAAGCCAUUCUCAGUUCGGAUUGCAGGCUGCAACUCGCCUGCAUGAAGCCGGAAUCGCUAGUAAUCGUAGAUCAGCAUGCUACGGUGAAUACGUUCCCGGGUCUUGUACACACCGCCCGU